UUUAUACUCACUUGUCCAAAUGACUAGAAAAAACACUCUACAGCCUUCUUGGUGUUUCACUCGUCUGAAAAUAAAGGAACUUCUCUAUUUUCCCAGGGGUACAGGAAGAAGAACUUACUGAAGAAGAAAGUUGAAGAACUGUGCUCGGAGCAUGAAAGUUUUCUUCUGUCUUUGGAAACUUGUCUGCAAACAGCUUGAAGGAGAUGCACCCCAAGGGCUAGCCGUCAAAGGCGAUGUCGAAGAACACAGUGGGGUUGACCAUGACUGAUAGUACAGGGCUCCCAGCAGCGGCAUCUGCAAAGCCAAAGCAGUUAUUUUAAAAACAAAGACCUGCUAGUUUUUGCAAAGCAAGUUUAUGCUGAUUGCUAUCAACUAGAGCUUACAACUUGUUUCUUUAUUGUUUUGUUUGGUAAGUGGGUCUUGCCUCAAUUAUGAUUCUGUAUCUUUGUGCCAGGUUGGGAUCAAGGAAAACCAUGCUUUGUUUCUAGCUGUGUGUGCUCUUUAUCUCUUUGUACUUCUGUUUCCUCAUCCAUAAAAACAUUUCAACUUUUCAUGGCGGUUAACCAAUUUCAAACAUCUCUCAGGGCUCAGACUAAAGGAAUGAUACACACUUUAAAUUAUUUGUAUGGGCUUUGCCAUUCGGCACUCUUUAAUUUUAGCAAUUUUCAUGAGCACUUAAAUGUAAUAAUGCAUUUCAUGUAAUAAUAACACUUAAUUAUUAUUAUCUAUUGUUUAUCCAAUGAUCUCAUGGUAGCUUAUAAACACUAAUUAAUUGAAGAUUUACAAAACGCUGUGAGGUUCAAGUACAAUGGCCAUGUUACAUUUACCCACUUAUUUCUCUAAAUGCUGCUUUGAAGUCUUUAAAUAUUUAAUUAGUGAUUAUAACUCAAGCUGCUAUUUGGGAAACCUAAAGUAGACACAUUUUGAAUCUUUUUGUGUGUGUGUGGUUUUCAAAUAAAGUUAGUAAUGAUUUCUGGAUACAAAAAAACCCAGAAAUUUUACUAAGUAAUUUUGACUUAGGGUUGAAACUACAUUCUUAGAAAUAUUGAGAUGAGAGAGAAAGCUAUGCUGACAGUCUGCUGAAAACGAUAAUAGUGAAAUAGCUCAUUAUUCCACUACAGCAUUCUCCACAGCGGUCGGGGAUGCACUGACUUCAUAAAGAUUUUAUUAUGAGCCUAUUACCUAUUUUUCACACUUUUCUCUGAUUAUCUUUUUUGACUUUUACCUCAAAUUUUAAGAAUAGACUGUUUUAUAAUGGGAAAAAUCUAUGGGCUGGUAAUCCUGAGGUCUAGGCUCUUCUACAUCUGUGAUUUAAACCAUUUAUUUCACUUUGUUAAUAUGAAGUUUUUUUCUAUAAAAUUGAGGCAAAAUAAUACAUACUCUACUAUCUCAACAUUGUAGCCAUUAUAAAGUGAGAUAAUAUGUAUAGUUCUUUCUCUGGGUCCCUACUUGGUUCAUAUUCAAUCAACAAAUAUUUAUUUAAUGCUUAUUAUGUGCCAGUCUCUGUUCAAAGGGCUUGAAAUAUAGCAGUAAAUACAUAAAUAAAUGAAAGAAGGAAUGAAUGAAUAACUUGUUCUCAUGAAGCUUAUAAUCCAGUGGGUAGAGGGAGAUAAAUAAGUAAAAAUACAUAAUGUAUUAGAUGGUGCUGUGGUUUGAAUGUUUGUCCCUUCCAAAACUCAUGUUGAAAUUUAACUGCCAUUGUAACAGUAUUAAGAGGUGACCCCUUUAAGAGGUUGAUUAGGCCAUGAGGACUCUGCCCUCAUGGGUGGGAUUUAUGACUUUAUAAAAGGGUAAAUUGGGCCCCCUUUUGUCUCUUCAUUCUGCCUUCUGCCAUGUGAAGACAAAGUGUUCCUCCCCUCCAGAGGAGGCAUCAUUUAAGGCACCAUCUUGGAAUCAGAAUUGCCAAACCUGCUGGCACCUUGAUAUUAGAGUUCCCAGCCUCCAGAACUGUGAGCCAAUAAAUUUAUGUUCAUUAUACAUUACCCAGUCUGUGGCAUUUUGUUAUAAUAGCACAAAUGAACUAAGAAAUAAGGUGAUAAAUAUUAUGGAAAAUUCUGAUUCAAUAGAGGUUCUACCACUUAUGAGCUAUGUAGCCUUAAAAAUACCUAUACCUCAGUUUUCUAAGCUGUGAUAUGGGAAAAAUUAUACUACUAACAUGUCAGAGUUUGUAUCUAUCUAAUCACAAAUAGUCCAGUUUGCUAUUCUAGUAAGAUUUAGUGAAUUGCAAUCAAUGUAUAGUCACUAUGAUAACAAGAAAGUAAAGGGAAUUGCUAUGACGUGCUGGUCUUCUCAGAAAUAAGAUUUCAACCCAGGCAGCCCGAUUUAUGGUUUCUGCACUUAACUACUGGCCUACAUUACUUCCCACCAAUAAUUACAGUUAGAGCUUCACAUGCAUAAUCUCAUUUAAUCUACAUAAGAACCUUAUAAAAUAAGAAACAUUAAUGUCCCCACUUCACAGGCUCCUCCUUUGAGCUGCCGAGGCACCGUCACCAUCCUUCUUCAGAGAUCGUCCCAGCUCUGGAGGGCCUCUCCAAGUUUCAGGUGCUACUCUAACCUUUUAUCUUUGUGGUUCUUUUAUCACUGAGGUGGUAGGGCUUCACGCAGGUGCAAGCUAUGUGUUAUUUUAGUAUCCUCUUCCCAUUUUUCAAGAUAUUCUGUUCAAUGGGCUUAGACAAAGCUAUGUGUUACUUCAGUGUCCUCAUUUUUCAAUUUGCCAAUACUAUUUGAUCAGUUCCUUUUAAUAAAA
RNAcentral lists this long non-coding RNA (2746 nucleotides) under Homo sapiens (human). RNAcentral's name for it is "HSALNT0180269". The record is from RNAcentral. Lineage: Eukaryota; Metazoa; Chordata; Mammalia; Primates; Hominidae.